RNAcentral lists this ribosomal RNA (252 nucleotides) under uncultured bacterium. RNAcentral's name for it is "partial 16S ribosomal RNA". It matches the Rfam family "Bacterial small subunit ribosomal RNA", at positions 524 to 776 of the family's 1533-position model. The record is from RNAcentral.
UACGAAGGGGGCUAGCGUUGCUCGGAAUCACUGGGCGUAAAGGGUGCGUAGCGGGUCUUUAAGUCAGGGGUGAAAUCCUGGAGCUCAACUCCAGAACUGCCUUUGAUACUGAAGAUCUUGAGUUCGGGAGAGGUGAGUGGAACUGCGAGUGUAGAGGUGAAAUUCGUAGAUAUUCGCAAGAACACCAGUGGCGAAGGCGGCUCACUGGCCCGAUACUGGCGCUGAGGCACGAAAGCGUGGGGAGCAAACAGG